RNAcentral lists this small RNA (182 nucleotides) under Variovorax sp. RNAcentral's name for it is "Manganese sequence". It matches the Rfam family "Manganese Mn2+ riboswitch aptamer (yybP-ykoY)". From Rfam's summary of the family: This RNA was originally discovered in E. coli during a large scale screen and was named SraF. The family was later found to exist upstream of related families of protein genes in many bacteria, including the the yybP and ykoK genes in B. subtilis. Lineage: Bacteria; Pseudomonadati; Pseudomonadota; Betaproteobacteria; Burkholderiales; Comamonadaceae. The record is from RNAcentral.
CGCGCCGUCAUUGGGGAGUAGCCGCCUUCCGUCGAGAGAAGGGCUCACGUCAACAGACUUGUCCUGCCCCACACGGGACAUGGCGUGCGCAGUGUUUCACCUGGCGAGACCUUUGACCGUGCAACUUCGGAAGAUGGCCGAAGGUGUUGCACGGUCAAUUGCGUCCUUCGGCCCAAGGAACU